UCUGGUUAAAAACAUAGGUUUUAGUUAAUUUUGAUUCAUAUUAUUCUGAACUUUGCUGUAACACGAUGGACAUAUUGCACAUUGCGACGAGCCGAGGAGUCAAUUUUUUAACCAUCGACGGCUAUACACAUAAUUACGUAAGCCAGACAAAUAUAGAAGAGUCGAAAUCACAAGAAAGGAAUAUAUUAGAUGUAUCGCCUAUAAAUACCCAGCAACAACAGAUUUAUGGUUUUAAUGUAUUCCGUUUUAAUGGAUUUGAUUGAUGUAAAUAUAGAUUUUCAAUUCGUCAUUUUAGUAUAAA
This 301-nucleotide long non-coding RNA is filed under the name Mytilus galloprovincialis (Mediterranean mussel). Lineage: Eukaryota; Metazoa; Mollusca; Bivalvia; Mytilida; Mytilidae. The record is from RNAcentral.